AGUGAACGCUGGCGGUAGGCCUAACACAUGCAAGUCGAACGGCAGCACAGUAAGAGCUUGCUCUUACGGGUGGCGAGUGGCGGACGGGUGAGGAAUACAUCGGAAUCUACUUUUUCGUGGGGGAUAACGUAGGGAAACUUACGCUAAUACCGCAUACGACCUACGGGUGAAAGCAGGGGAUCUUCGGACCUUGCGCGAUUGAAUGAGCCGAUGUCGGAUUAGCUAGUUGGCGGGGUAAAGGCCCACCAAGGCGACGAUCCGUAGCUGGUCUGAGAGGAUGAUCAGCCACACUGGAACUGAGACACGGUCCAGACGCCUACGGGAGGGAGCAGUGGGGAAUAUUGGACAAUGGGCGCAAGCCUGAUCCAGCCAUACCGCGUGGGUGAAGAAGGCCUUCGGGUUGUAAAGCCCUUUUGUUGGGAAAGAAAGGCAGCAGGUUAAUACCCCGCUGUUCUGACGGUACCCAAAGAAUAAGCACCGGCUAACUUCGUG
Molecule: ribosomal RNA, 492 nt
Filed under: uncultured bacterium
Lineage: Bacteria
Description: partial 16S ribosomal RNA
Rfam family: Bacterial small subunit ribosomal RNA
Source: RNAcentral